GUUGUAUAGUCAAGUAAUUAAGUGCAUGUGGUGGAUGCCUUGGCAGUCAGAGGCGAUGAAAGACGUGAUAGCCUGCGAAAAGCUCCGGGGAGGCGGCAAAUAUCCUUUGAUCCGGAGAUGUCUGAAUGGGGGAACCCACCUACUUUAAGGUAGGUAUUGCAACAUGAAUACAUAGUGUUGCAAGGCGAACGAGGGGAAGUGAAACAUCUCAGUACCCUUAGGAAAAGAAAUCAAUUGAGAUUCCCUCAGUAGCGGCGAGCGAACGGGGAUCAGCCCAUUAAGUUAUGUGUGUUUUAGUGGAACGCUCUGGGAAGUGCGAACGUAGAGGGUGAUAUUCCCGUACACGAAAGGGCACACAUAAUGAUGACGAGUAGGGCGAGGCACGUGAAACCUUGUCUGAAUAUGGGGGGACCAUCCUCCAAGGCUAAAUACUCCUGACUGACCGAUAGUGAACCAGUACCGUGAGGGAAAGGCGAAAAGAACCCCUGUGAGGGGAGUGAAAUAGAUCCUGAAACCGCAUGCAUACAAGCAGUGGGAGCACCUUCGUGGUGUGACUGCGUACCUUUUGUAUAAUGGGUCAGCGACUUAUAUUCAGUAGCGAGGUUAACCGUAUAGGGGAGCCGUAGAGAAAUCGAGUCUUAAUAGGGCGUUUAGUUGCUGGGUAUAGACCCGAAACCAGGCGAUCUAUCCAUGAGCAGGUUGAAGGUUGGGUAACACUAACUGGAGGACCGAACCCACUGUCGUUGAAAAGCCAGGGGAUGACUUGUGGAUAGGGGUGAAAGGCUAAUCAAGCCUGGUGAUAGCUGGUUCUCCCCGAAAGCUAUUUAGGUAGCGCCUCGGACGAAUACCAUAGGGGGUAGAGCACUGUUUCGGCUAGGGGGUCAUC
This 886-nucleotide ribosomal RNA is filed under the name Acinetobacter baumannii. RNAcentral describes it as "bacterial LSU rRNA". It matches the Rfam family "Bacterial large subunit ribosomal RNA", at positions 1 to 931 of the family's 2925-position model. Lineage: Bacteria; Pseudomonadati; Pseudomonadota; Gammaproteobacteria; Moraxellales; Moraxellaceae. The record is from RNAcentral.